RNAcentral lists this ribosomal RNA (935 nucleotides) under uncultured bacterium. Its description in RNAcentral is "bacterial SSU rRNA". It matches the Rfam family "Bacterial small subunit ribosomal RNA", at positions 60 to 988 of the family's 1533-position model. The record is from RNAcentral.
AGUCGAGCGGGGAUUGGGUGCUUGCACCUAAUCUUAGCGGCGGACGGGUGAGUAAAGCUUAGGAAUCUGCCUAUUAGUGGGGGACAACAUUCCGAAAGGGAUGCUAAUGCCGCAUACGUCCUACGGGAGAAAGCAGGGGAUCACUUGUGACCUUGCGCUAAUAGAUGAGCCUAAGUCGGAUUAGCUAGUUGGUGGGGUAAAGGCCUACCAAGGCGACGAUCUGUAGCGGGUCUGAGAGGAUGAUCCGCCACACUGGGACUGAGACACGGCCCAGACUCCUACGGGAGGCAGCAGUGGGGAAUAUUGGACAAUGGGCGGAAGCCUGAUCCAGCCAUGCCGCGUGUGUGAAGAAGGCCUUUUGGUUGUAAAGCACUUUAAGCGAGGAGGAGGCUACCUGGAUUAAUACUCUAGGAUAGUGGACGUUACUCGCAGAAUAAGCACCGGCUAACUCUGUGCCAGCAGCCGCGGUAAUACAGAGGGUGCGAGCGUUAAUCGGAUUUACUGGGCGUAAAGCGUGCGUAGGCGGCUGAUUAAGUCGGAUGUGAAAUCCCCGAGCUUAACUUGGGAAUUGCAUUCGAUACUGUUAAGCUAGAGUAUGGGAGAGGAUGGUAGAAUUCCAGGUGUAGCGGUGAAAUGCGUAGAGAUCUGGAGGAAUACCGAUGGCGAAGGCAGCCAUCUGGCCUAAUACUGACGCUGAGGUACGAAAGCAUGGGGAGCAAACAGGAUUAGGUACCCUGGUAGUCCAUGCCGUAAACGAUGUCUACUAGCCGUUGGGGCCUUUGAGGCUUUAGUGGCGCAGCUAACGCGAUAAGUAGACCGCCUGGGGAGUACGGUCGCAAGACUAAAACUCAAAUGAAUUGACGGGGCCCGCACAAGCGGUGGAGCAUGUGGUUUAAUUCGAUGCGACCCGAAAAACCUUACCUGGCCUUGACAUA